UCGCAUAUCCAAUGUGAGACUUCACACUUGAAUAAACCCAACAGGUACACCUAUAAGGGCUUUUGGAAUGUCUAAGGAACAACAUCCUAAGGUAGAGUUGUAAGGUAUAGUGGAUGUUUUAACAAACUCUAGACUCCCUAUAAAGUAUCUAAAUUGUAACUCUUCGAAAGAAUAGAAACCCAAGUAUUAUGGGGUUAGAAACAAGAGUUAUGCUCGAGCCCGUAACUCACAAUAUUUGGUAACAUUCUGAGUGGUCCACAUGACCUGUAACACCGCG
Molecule: long non-coding RNA, 277 nt
Filed under: Lupinus angustifolius (narrow-leaved blue lupine)
Lineage: Eukaryota; Viridiplantae; Streptophyta; Magnoliopsida; Fabales; Fabaceae
Description: long non-coding RNA (LANG_LNC001059)
Source: RNAcentral